UGCUCUCAUCAUUUAAGAAAUUCCUUAUGUUUUAGGAGCUCAGGGCCAGAAAUGGGACAAAGAUCAAAUAUGUAUUUCUUAUUAUAAAGCACAAUAGCACAGAUGCUAACACUAGUGAAUGAAAAUCUGAUGAGGAAUGGGAGAUUUACAUAGACUCAAAAUAUCUUCCCAUAAAUUAUUUAUUAAUUACAAAGGAACAAUAUAACUUUGCAAUGGGGAAAUUUGGCAGACGCUACACUAAUCAAGUGAUCAAAUUUUAAAAUCCUGAUAUAUUGUACUGAGAAGAAUACAACAUCACUUCUGUAGUGUGCCUGUGAAAAUGUAUAACUUGAAUACUCAAGAGAAAAUACUGGACAUUCUACAAAGUAACUAGCCUAUAUUCUUCAAAAAUUUCAAGGUCAUGAAAGACAAGGAAGUGAGAAACUCUCCAGAUGUAAGAAAACUAAAGAGCUGUGACAACUAAAUACAAGGAAAUAUGCACCAGUGUACAGGGGUAAGAAGGCACAACAUCCCCAACCUACUCUUGAGUGAUCAGAAACACAAUCAGGCUUUUAUCUUGCUUCUCCUUCGGGAAAGAAGACCUAGGAUAGCCAGAUUUGGUGGCAGCAAAAGGAUCCAAAGUGAACUUCCAGCAACGUUUGGGGAUGAUGAGACACACAGCCAUGGUCUUAAGGAAGUAGGAAAGCUGAAGGGAUUCCAUUUUAGAAAGUCUCCAUCUCUGCUGUUUUUCUGCUAGGCCCUAUUGACUCAUGUUCCAUAUUUUGUCUCUGAACAAGCCAAAGAAGCUAUCUUCCCACUUCAAGGGGUGAUGAGGGAUAGAAGCAGAAAAAUGUUCGCGUUUAGCCCAGAAGGCUGACCUAUAGCCUGCAUCGUUCCGAUAAGGAUCCAAUAUGUGCUGGUUGCUACAUUCUUAAAGGGUCUUAUGACCACCUGUACUUCUAAUAGUUAAUAUCAAGCUCAAUGAUAAGCACCAGAGAAAUCUUGCAAAAGUAGUUUUAUGAGUAGAAACUGAAAGAAAACAUUUAUGAUCUAAUACUCCCUGCAUGUCCCCUCUCCUUUGAGCACUAAGCAUAUAACCAACCACCAGCUUCAUACAGUAAAAGUUCAGCUCUUUCUGCCCACUCAAUGAUCCUGCAACAGGCAGAGGACAGCAAGUUAAUCACUGAGUUUUGUCCUAGGCCCCAAACACCUGAUAACAUAUAAGAAGAGCCAGAUCCUAAACAUGUCCCAGAACAUUAGCUUCAAACAAACCUCAACUGGUGCUGGCAUCAAUACACUUAUCUUCAGUAAUUUAUGGAAUAACACCUCUUGUUCACCUGACGCUUGCCUUUGACUGUACCCUACUCUGGAUUCCUGGAGGAACAUGUACCUAGACUCUCCUAAUACAAACACCUAACAAUGAUGAGACUCAUUCUUCACUCCUUUCUGAGUCUCCCAGACACUCCGUCUGCUGUUAUCUGUCUGUCACACUA
This is a long non-coding RNA of Zalophus californianus (California sea lion), 1472 nucleotides long. RefSeq lists it as uncharacterized. The record is from RefSeq and is a predicted model, not a curated record. Lineage: Eukaryota; Metazoa; Chordata; Mammalia; Carnivora; Otariidae. The transcript has 4 exons.